AUUGAACGCAGGCGGCAUGCCUUACACAUGCAAGUCGAACGGUAACAGGUCUUCGGAUGCUGACGAGUGGCGAACGGGUGAGUAAUACAUCGGAACGUGCCUAGUAGUGGGGGAUAACUACUCGAAAGAGUGGCUAAUACCGCAUGAGAUCUACGGAUGAAAGCAGGGGAUCGCAAGACCUUGUGCUACUAGAGCGGCCGAUGGCAGAUUAGGUAAUUGGUGGGAUAAAAGCUUACCAAGCCGACGAUCUGUAGCUGGUCUGAGAGGACGAUCAGCCACACUGGGACUGAGAAACGGCCCAGACUCCUACGGGAGGCAGCAGUGGGGAAUUUUGGACAAUGGGCGAAAGCCUGAUCCAGCAAUGCCGCGUGCAGGAUGAAGGCCUUCGGGUUGUAAACUGCUUUUGUACGGAACGAAAAGCCCCGGGUUAAUACCCUGGGGUCAUGACGGUACCGUAAGAAUAAGCACCGGCUAACUACGUGCCAGCCGCCGCAGUAA
RNAcentral lists this ribosomal RNA (498 nucleotides) under uncultured bacterium. RNAcentral describes it as "partial 16S ribosomal RNA". It matches the Rfam family "Bacterial small subunit ribosomal RNA", at positions 30 to 523 of the family's 1533-position model. The record is from RNAcentral.